GAUGAACGCUGGCGGCGUGCCUAAUACAUGCAAGUCGAGCGAACAGACGAGGAGCUUGCUCCUCUGACGUUAGCGGCGGACGGGUGAGUAACACGUGGAUAACCUACCUAUAAGACUGGGAUAACUUCGGGAAACCGGAGCUAAUACCGGAUAAUAUAUUGAACCGCAUGGUUCAAUAGUGAAAGACGGUUUUGCUGUCACUUAUAGAUGGAUCCGCGCCGCAUUAGCUAGUUGGUAAGGUAACGGCUUACCAAGGCGACGAUGCGUAGCCGACCUGAGAGGGUGAACGGCCACACUGGAACUGAGACACGGUCCAGACUCCUAGGGGAGGCAGCAGUAGGGAAUCUUCCGCAAUGGGCGAAAGCCGGACGGAGCAACGCCGCGUGAGUGAUGAAGGUCUUCGGAUCGUAAAACUCUGUUAUUAGGGAAGAACAAAUGUGUAAGUAACUAUGCACGUCUUGACGGUACCUAAUCAGAAAGCCACGGCUAACUACGUG
This 497-nucleotide ribosomal RNA is filed under the name uncultured bacterium. Its description in RNAcentral is "partial 16S ribosomal RNA". It matches the Rfam family "Bacterial small subunit ribosomal RNA", at positions 28 to 507 of the family's 1533-position model. The record is from RNAcentral.